UGCAGGUCUGCCUUUCUUGUGGGUAACUGC
Molecule: non-coding RNA, 30 nt
Filed under: Rattus norvegicus (Norway rat)
Lineage: Eukaryota; Metazoa; Chordata; Mammalia; Rodentia; Muridae
Source: RNAcentral